GUUGACAGGUCUUCAAGAACAAAUUUUCGUUUCCAGCUGGACUGACUCACCUAGAGGAACUUUCUGUUCACAUCACCAGUGCAGAUAAACUUUGAGGCAGGUCGGGAGGCAUUUUAUACUUUAGGAUCGUAUGGGCACUGGCAUUUCAUCUUCUAAAUGAAGAUGUAUUUGUGGCUACUAUCACCCUCAUGGGAGAAUUACGGAGGUGCUCAAAAUUAUGAGAAACAGGAAAAUUUUAAUAUUUCACUCAUGUGACUUCUACAUUCCUGGAAAUUGGAAAAUGUUACUUUCUCUCCCUGCCUUGCAAAUUUCCCUCUUGAAUCUUUUCACUGUUAGUGGAUGUGGGAGGUUAGAAGGGAGGGGGUGAGAGCUGUCUGCCCUGAUGCACAGAGCUGCCUCGAGUCCCCACAAUUAGGACUCACAUAUCUGUGGUUUGCUGUGGCCACGGCAAGCUUCCUAUCUUUGUGGCAAGAAAAGAUGCCGAGUUUGGAGGUAUAUGAGAGUGAGGUAUCAGGUGGGAAGGAGGUGGUCUGAGGUUGAUUCACUGUAGAGCUGAUGAAUCUUCACCUCUGGAGCCUCAUUGGCACAGGCCUCUUCAGGAGUUAUGGGGGUAAGGAGGGAGUGUUCUAGCAAUUGUGCAUCUGUGAUUCGGCAGUUUUUAUUUUUUAAGAUUCACCCCCACCCCUCCCAAUUGCAUAAGCUUUACCAGUAAUACAGUAAAAUCCCUCGAAUCCAUGAUUUAUUCCUUGCAGAGGAAUCAGAAUUCUCCAAAUUGGGCCAUGUCGGAAUCCCCUGGGAAGCUAUAAUACAUGUCACACCCUCCCACCGGGCCAGAGCUAGCAGUCCGAGGGGCAGGGUGACACUGGGGGUCUUCUACAUAGGGUGUGGCCCCACCCUAUGCUGAACUCUCCUGAAGUCCAAGCCAGUGCUCAGCUGGUUCUUACCAGAGCAGAUGGGCAGCAGUGGCUCUGCCACCACACCAGGUGUGGCUACCAAAAGGUUGGGUGUCCAGGUGCAUAGUUGAUCUGGAUCCACAUGCAGCCUUCCUCUUGCCCACUGCUUACCCCCCUGCCAGUUGCCUCAUUCAUAGCUUUGGACCCAGCUCCUCACCUCCCAUCGCCUGUCCCUGCCUAGUCUCAAAUGGAGCCACAGUGCCAGGGCCUGCCUGGCAGAGGCUGAAGCUUGGUGCUUGGGGUUUCAUGAGUAGUCUUGUCCCAACCUCCCCAGACUGCAAGGUUGUGGGAGCCUUUGUGUGCCUCCUGGGACCUCCCACAGCUGGGAGCCUUCCCAUGUGCCCAUCUGCGGAUGUCCCAGCAUGAAUGUAAGACUGAGUCUUCUCUGGUUAUAGAUGGCCACACUAUUGGAGAUGCCAAGACAGUGGCCACUAAAGGCAGCUGGAGGAGAGUGUGAAGCCAGACUGUGGUCAAUUUGGUGUGCAUUUCAGAGUGUAGAGGCCUUGAUUUGUUCCCCUGGUCUAGGAGUUUAUGACCUGGGUUCAACCACAUUCCUUUAGUGGCCCCUCUAGUUUUAUGAAAAAAAUGGUUAACUGUGAGUUUGCUCUUUAAAUCACCAAUCAUCUGUGUCCGUUUAAAAAUAAAGCUAUAGUUCCCUAAGUUUGUAUUACUGAGAGCAUUAAAAAAAAUCCUUCAUCUUAAGCAAAUAAGACUAUUUUGCAUUAUGAAAUGGUGUAUUUGGGGCUAGGAUGGCCACAUUCCUACAUGCAUGUAAAAUAUAGAACAAGAUAUCCAGAUACAAUUUUAGGUGAAGAUCUGAAUUAGUCCCAGUUUUGUUUCAUAAUUCAUUUUAAUUUGGUGAAUUUUAAAACAUUUUUAAAAGCCUUUGACAUGUUUCUUGAUUCUAACAAUCCUGCAUAUUCAAAACAUGUUAGAUGGCCAAUGCGAAGGAGGAAGCCUUACUGUGUAAAACCAGAACUUGACAAUGGGAGCGUUAUAGAAUUCACAGAUCUUUGUUCCAAUGGGAAUGCUUCUUUGCUUUUUGUGUUCAUUCUCCUCAUCGCCCUUUCUUGAACCAGUGUCUGCAUUGGCAUCCUGGAAAACAGAGAACAGCACACAGCAAGCAGGUUGCUAAAUGGGAAAUGCACAGUAUUUAACAGAUAUUUUUUUAAAAAAUAAAGAAGUAUACAAAUUUCCCCAAUUACUAUGGUUUCUAAAUUCAUGGUAAGAGAAAUCUCAACAAUUUUGAGAAUGAAAGUCAAUUGAUACUGUUAUGGUCAGGGGUAUCACUGACCACAUUUUCCUCUUCUUUUUCUUUGCCAUCUUCAUUUUCCUUGGAUGUCUGAUAUGAGAAGUCAUCAUAUGUGCGAAAUUCCAAAAACAAGAUGGUAGGGGGAAGAAGAAUCCCCAUUAUAACCUAUAUGGGAUGAUAAAAAAGAUUUUUUUUUUAAUUUUUAGAUUUCUAAGCUAUGGCAAUUCUAGAAAAUUUUCCUAGUAUACAUAAAAAUUUUAAAUUAUGACCUUCAGCACCACUCAACAAAUUGAUUUGUCCUAAAACAGGUUUAUCUCUGCUCUGAUGUUCUGUGGCUUAUUCUGUUUGAUACACUGAAUAAGAGUUGGUAGAGUUGCAACUGAAAACUGUAAGUACUUUCAUCACAUUAUUUUAGAUAGACAGCAAGCAGUAUUGUGUGGAAUUGUGUCUUAAAAGCAAAGAGCUUAUAUUGAGUUUCAAAGCGGGUAAAUCUUUAAAUUAAAAUAUAAUAAAUGAGAACAAAUAAACAAAAUAUAGUAAUACUGAUAGUGAAGUAGAUAAAAAAUAUUUUAUGUAGAAAUAACUGAUGUGUAUCUCCAAUAUUAUUUUUAAAUAAUAAAAUUAUUGUAAUAGUAUAUUAUCAUUAUAUUAUUAAAUAAAAGUAUUAUAUGAUUAAAUAAUAAAAUAUUAUAGUAUAUCAUUAAACAAUUAACUAUUAUAAUAUUGUACUAUUAAACAAUAACUAUUAUUUAUAUUUAUAAAUUAUAUAUUUAUUAAAUAUAUAUGUAUAUAUGAAUAUUAAUGUUAUAUUAAAUAAUACAUUUUUUAAUUUUAAAAAAUGUUUAUUUUAGAGAGAGAGAGAGAGAGAGAGACUGAGAGUGAGAGAGAGAGAGGGAGACACAGAAUCUGAAGCAGGCUCCAGGCUCUGAGCCUGUCAGCACAGAGCCCAAUGUGGGUCUCAAACUCAUUAACUGCGAGAUCAUGACCUCAGCUGAAGUCGAACACUUAACCAACUGAGCCACCCAGGUGCCCCCUCAGUGAUACAUUGUUAAGGAUACCACAAAAGGGCUACUUCUACCGUACAUUAAAAGUUAUAUUACAAAAAAUCAGUAAUUAAGAUAGUAGGGUGUAGGUGCAUGAAUAAACCAAACAAAGAAAUAGAAUAGAACGUCUCUUUUGGCCAGUGGAAGCCUCUUCGAGUGGGCUCCUCUGUCCCCUGUUCUUACCCUACUGAUCUUUGAUAGCUUCUUUGCCAUCUGGUAUGUCAAGAUGUUCUAGGCUUAUCUUGGAAUUUUCUUGCUCCAGAUCUGGAACGAAUCAUUUCUCCAAGAAGUUCUGGCCCCAGUUAGUGGGAAAUGGUAUUGCAAGACCACAAUCUGGGCAUUGGAGAUGUUCACUGCUUUUCAGUAGGUCAUUGUGUCCAGGCUUUUCAUUGCUCAGAGAUGGAAUGAGUUUGUACUGAUGCUUCCAUUUAAACACUAUAGGCUUUUCAUUUACCCCUUUCUAGACCAUAGCUGUGUUUCCUUUUGCUACACACUGAAUCCUAGUUCUAAAGGACAGACAUGAUAGAAUUAAAAUACCCCUUGUUAUUCAGUUGCUUUAUAGUUUCAGAAUAACAAUGUUAAUACUACUGCUAUUGAUUAUGAUUACUGAAGAGUUACUUUUUUUUUUUUUUGCAUAGGUGUUUCAAUUCUCUCCUCUUUUUUAAAAAGGUUGUAUUAUAUCUAUAUUAUCAGAACACAUAGCCAUUGCAUACUAUACUCUCUCCCUCUUAACCCUCCCCUAGUCUCAGCACUAUAUGUAAAUAUAUAUCUGAGGCUUACCAUUAGUCCUUAUACUGAUGCCUCUUUGGUUACUGUGGUUCUUGGAAGCUCAUUACCUAAUAGAGUCUUUAGAAAGGGCUCAUAAGAACAAUAUUUCCUGGGGUCCUUGCCUGUUGGUAAUGGUUUUUGUAUACCUUUUAUAUUUAACAGUCACUUUUGUUGGAUAUAAAAUCCUGGUCUGUCAUUUUCCUUCUGGGAGUAUCUUUAUAUGACACACUCCAAUUUUUUCUCUGACACAAGUGGUUGCUGCUGGAAGUCUGAUUAUAAUCUAAUUUUCUUUUCCUUAUAAGUAACUUUCACUUUGGUUGUUGUUGGUUUGCCUGGAUGCCCAGGGAGUUUUUUCUUUUUCAUUAAGAUCCAGUAAUUUAAAAAUGUGUGUUGAUGUUGGUUGUUCUGGGUUGAUAUAUGUGUCUAGAAAGUGUUUUUUUUCAAUAUGUAAUUUCAUAUCAUUUGUCUUCAAGAGGUAUUUUUGAAUCAUAUUUUGAGAUAAUCACUUUUAACUAUUUCUGAUUUUAGUUUUUUUUAUAGCUUCAUAUUUUUAACAUGAGUGACGUUUUAUAUUGCUAUUUCUUUGUUAGUUUAAGUACUACCUAUUAACAUCCUAUUUUUUUAAUGUUUAUUUAUUUCUGAGAGAGAGAGAGAGAGUGCACAAGCAGGGGAGGGGCAGAAAGAGAGGGGGACAGAAGAUCUGAAGUGGGUUCCGCACUGACAGCAGAAAUCCCAAUGCGGGGCUUGAACUUGGGAACUGCAAGAUCAUAACUUGAGCCCAAGUUGGAUGCUUAACUGACUGAGCCACGUAGGUGCCCUGACAUCCUAUUAUUUUAGACAAGACUUGAUCUCGUUUCAUCUAUUCCUCUGCUCCCAUUUUUAAUAGCCACAUGAAUGUUUUCAGUUCCUACAAGGUUAUCUUUGUAACUUUAUAUCAUGAACUGAAAUCUUUUUCUCUUGUUUCAACAACUGUUGAUAGUCUCGAUUCCCCACAUUAUAAUAUGGGAUAUUAUCCUUCUCACCACCCUCCCUUCCUCCUUCUACCACCCAGUUUUUCCCAGCUGUGCCUUUGAUUCUUGUAUUUUCUUUUUUUAAAAAAAAUUUUAACAUUUAUUUUUGAGAGAGCGAGACACAGCACAAGUGGGGGAGGGGCAGAGAGAGAGGGGAGACACAGAAUCUGAAGCAGGCUCCAGGCUCCAAGCUGUCAGCACAGAGCCCCAUGUGGGGUCAUAGACUGCGAGAUCAUGACCUGAACCGAAGUCAGAUGCCUAACUGACCGAACCACCCAGGUGCCCCUGUAUUUUCUUUUUUUAAAAAAUGUUUAUUUAUUUAUUCUGAGAGAGAGCGAGUGGGGAAGGGGCAAAGAGAGGGCAAGAGAGAGAAUCCCAAGCAGGCUCUGCACUGUCAGCCCAGAGCCUGAUGCUGGGCUUGAUCCCACAAACCACGAAAUCAUGACCUGAACUGAAACCAAGAGUUAGAUGCUCAACUGACUGAGCCACCUAGGUAGGUGUCUGCUUUUUGUAUUUUAUACUUGGUGGCAUUUGUAUUCUGUUUAAGGAAUCAUAUUCGAGUCUUCAGUGCUUUGUCUAUGGGACUAUUCCAAAAACUGAAAAACCAAUAAAAAGCAUUUCCAUUUUUAUUACUAUAUAAAUAUUGUUUAUUGUGUGGCCAUAUGGCAAUUUUAAUGCAGAAUUCUGGUACCACUAAAGGAUCAUGUUCUUGAUAUCAGAGGUCAAAUGGUCUUUUUUUACACACUACCAGUUGCUCAAAAUCAUUCUGAGUUUUAAUUUGAAUCGUAACUGAGCCUUAACUUUUGUGUGCAUUUUUGUUUUACUUGAAAUCUGAUCCCCCUUCUAUGUUCUCGUUAAUUUUCUUGUUAAGAAACUGUUCUUGUUUCCUUGACCUUUAUCCCUGACACUUGUAGCCUCUUGGUCAUUCCAUCUUAUUUAUUGGACUCAUUUCUGUUCUUCUUGAUUCCUUCCUUCUUGGAUCUCACUGACUCCUUAUACUCAUUUAAUCUGACAGACUUUUAAUCCCACUGUUCAGUUUUCAUAUGAGGGCAAGGCAUAACAUUCAUGUUAUUAAGAAAUGAAAUGCCUUCUAUUUGCCAGAACCACACUACACAAUAUAACAUAAGAUGUCUUUACUCUCAUGGAAAUCCCAUGAGAUUGGCAUAAUAUUGCCGUGAGGGAGCUGGAUUAUUUGAAGAUUAGAAUCUUUUCUUACCUACUAGUUAACAGUACUAAACAGCAGAGCUAAGAUUUGAUCACAAUACAAUUUGUACCGACUACAGCCUUUCAAACCCUACUAUAACUUCAUAUUCUCUUAUAAACCCCAUAUAAUGAAAUGUUGCCAAUUAAAAUAAUAUCACAUAAUUUCAGGGGCUCCUGGGUGGCUUAGUUGGUUAAGUGUCCGAUUUUGGCUCAGGUCAUGAUCUCACGGUGCGUGAGUUUGAGCCCCACGUCGGGCUCUGUGCUGAUAGCUCAGAGCCUGGAGCCUGCUUAAGAUUCUGUGUCUCCCUCUCUCUCUGCCCCUCCCCUUCUAAUGUUCUGUCUCUCUCAAAAAUAAAAAUAAACAUUAAAAAUAUAUAUAAUCACACAGUUUCAGAGUUGUAACAGGAUCUAUAGAAACAGAGUUCAGGUGCCUGAUUUAAUGGCAGGAAGAUGGCCUGUCCUGGGAUGUGGUUAGUUAGGGUGAACUCCAAUCUCUGUGAGCCAGGCACACCAGUUAGGUCUGGCAUUAGGCCACCUGGGUUCAGGGCCUGGACCCACACCUUACCAGCUCAGAUCCUAGACAAGUCAACCUCGAAGCUUCAGGUUUUUCAUCUGUAAGGCAAGCAUCUCCCUCAUGGGGCUGUUCAGAGGAAUAAAUGAAAUAAUCCACAGGAAUGCCUGGCUCUGCAAGGUGCAGAGUAAGAGCUCACACAGGUGUCAUUUGUUACCAUUAUGACAAUAAGCCAUACGUACUUUUAGGCCAGGGUUUUUCCUCAUUCGCAGCCUUCCCAUCCACAUGUCUGUCAGCAGCAUCUGGCUGCAGGUGUGAGCAAUGAAGUCCCGGUGUUUGGCCGCCACUGCCAGCUUGAGGCAGGUGGAGUUGCUCCAGUUCUUCAGCUCAUAGGUCAGCAGUUUCAUGGCAAUCUGCUCAUCGUGCUUAUAGGACUGGUCUAACAACUCCACGGCAAGCUGGCCGAAGUCUCUGAAGGGAAGGGAGCACAGUCAGAGCUGACGCUGCAGUGGCUACACACACUGUGAGAGAGACAUAUCCACAGACACAUCAUGGAGCCCAGGACACAGAAUCCUUGAUUUCCAAUCCUCUGCAUACCCCAGAAGCUCCCAGGGUAUGUUGCCAGGUGGGAAUGGCUGGGGCCAGGGCUCUGUGCUCAGUUGUGUUGGGGGGCUGACUGCUCUUGCUGCAAAUGGAGUUUAGAUUGACCCCAAAUGUGCCUCUCAGGCCUCAGGCACUCAGAGACGAGAAGACAAAGUUCUCUUCCCUCAAGUCUUCACAGAACAGGGAUGCAGACAGAAAGGACAGCAAAGCUCUAUGGCAAUAGAGUCAGAAUAAGGACUACCCUUUGUGGAGGGUACAGGAAAGGGGACACCAGGAAUACUGGCAGGUCUGGGUAAGGUCCCGUUUCUUCAUCUAGGUGCUGGUCAUCCUGGUGUGUUCUGUUUGUGAACGGUCAUCAAGCCAUACAUUUGUAUGUGUGCCUUUCCCUGCCUGUGUGCAAUACUUCAAUAACACAAUGGUCACAAGAAAGUUCAACGUUCCUAGGGCUAUGAUAGAGACAAGUUCUAGUUGUCAUGGGGGCCUAGAGCAGUGAGGGCCUAGUGGUUGGAGGUGGAGGAGGGGGAAGUAAUGGGAGCCAAGUUGGGGGAGAGGAGGAGAGGAUGGCAAGUUGAAUUAUAAACAUAAACUUUAUUCCAUUUUCUACAUGGCCCUCAUUCAACAUUCAAUGACUGUUGUAAACAUUCCCUGUACCUUCAACAUUUUUCAUGGAAUGUGGUUAAGAUGAAGUCCCAGAGUGAUCGCCCCUGUUUUUGUUUCUCCAUUUUCUGUAAGAUUUUAUUCCAGCUAUGAGCUGAGGGAUGUAGAAAGGAGGAAUUCUGUGUGGAGGAAUGGCCUUGUAUGUUACCUGAAGAGGAAUGCUCUCUGGCCUCAGGUCCCACAGGCUGUGAGGUGACACAUUACCAUGACAAUCCUCCAAGAAGCAGAGGGAUGGUAUUUACCAACCCACUGAGAUGGGAACAUCUCCCAUUUUUUAGAUAGGCUUGAAUUCCCAAUGUUUAGAAGUCAACUAGUGACUUUAGAAAUCAUUGAGUCCAAAAUAAAAGCAGUGUGCUUCAGAAAACAAAGAUGCUGGAUGUUGGCAGAAUUGCUUGGUUACACCCCAAGCUCAUGAGUCUAUAAAGUUGUGCUGGGACUUCUGGUUUUUAGUUCUGCAUGGUAGGGGCUUGGAAGUCACCAUUCUGUGCUAACAUUAAGCACAAAGUUAGACAAACUGAAAAUCAACAACUCUUCUAAAUUCAUCAGAGAAUUGAGGUCACAGGGCAAACUGCUGCUCCCAUAACUGUAGAGAUAGACCAGCAGAUAUAGAAACUCAUGACAUACCAGAGCAGAAACCUCUGGAACCAGAGCUGGGGCAGGAAAACUCAAACUGUAACUGAUAAAUUGUUGGAGGCUCUGUGAGGACAAGUCUGAGACUUAAUAACUCCAGGGGAGGGGCCCAGUCUUAGGGAAGUGUGCUCACGUUUUUGUGAGUUUUACCUCCAAGAGCUCCACCAAGUUCUCACAGAGAUGAGAGAGAAAUCCCCUCAUGCUGCCAGCACAGGGAGGGGAAAAGGAACCAUUCUGAAAUAUGUUGGUGUACUCUGGUCUCCUUAACUAGGCCUGCCUGAAGGAGAAACAAGUUAGCCAGAGCCUACCCUAUUGGGGUAUUAUUAGAGCCUAAUGGCCUGUGGGAAGGGAGGUGCCCAACUGCAGGCCCCUCAGGCUGUCCUGUCCCAUCUAAGUUGGAGAAAAACUGAGAAGCACUUGGAAAGUAUAAAUAAAAAAACAAAACAAUGACAGUCUAGAAAUACCACAGAGAGAAGAAAAAAUAUGAAAUGAUAGACAAAAUGAUUUAUGAACAAGCUUUAAGGAUAAUUGUACUUGGGGUGCCUGGGUGGCUCAGUUGGUUAAGCGUCUGAUGUCAGCUCAGGUCAUGAUCUUGUGGUUCAUGGGUUUGAGCCCCUUGUCAGGCUCUGGCUGGCAGCUCAGAGCCUGGAGACUGCUUCGGAUUCUGUGUCUCUCCCUCUCUUUGUCCCUCCCCCACUUGCGCUCUAUCUCUCUCUCUCAAAAAUAAACAUUAAAAAAAAUGAAAAAAAAAAAAGAUAAUUGUACCCAAGUGAAAAAUACAUUUGCCAACCCUCCCCCAAAGGGACAAGUACUCAGGACAAUAGUUUUUCCUGGUUCUUAAAUUCCCUUCAGACACUAACUUUGAAUUGUUGUCCAAAUCCUGGGAGAUGUCAUCUACCAGCUCGCUCUCAGAGGACUCGUGGGCCAUGGACUUGUAGAGCUUACAGGCGACCAGGGCCUUGGCCAUGCUCUCCUCGCCUCGCUGCCAGAGGAAGACCGCCAUUUUCUGGCGUUUCAUCAGCACGGCCCACACCAUCAGCUCGUGGAAGGGGUACUGGAACCGACUCACAGCAGGGUCAUCCACAUCAAUGUCGAUCUCUUCCUCCUUCUUCUUCUUUUUCUUUUUCUUCCCUUUGGCUGGAGGCUCAUCAUCCUGAGGGGAGACAAGCACAUUUUUCCUGGUUCUGCCUUAAGUGUGCAACAAUGGAUUUC
Molecule: long non-coding RNA, 9842 nt
Filed under: Lynx pardinus (Iberian lynx)
Lineage: Eukaryota; Metazoa; Chordata; Mammalia; Carnivora; Felidae
Source: RNAcentral